This 437-nucleotide ribosomal RNA is filed under the name uncultured bacterium. RNAcentral describes it as "bacterial SSU rRNA". It matches the Rfam family "Bacterial small subunit ribosomal RNA", at positions 343 to 794 of the family's 1533-position model. The record is from RNAcentral.
CGGAGGCAGCAGUGGGGAAUCUUGCACAAUGGGCGAAAGCCUGAUGCAGCGACGUCGCGUGACUGAUGAAGUCCUUCGGGAUGUAAAGGUCUUUUUUGCGGGAAGAAGGAUGUGACGGUACCGCAAGAAUAAGCCCCGGCUAACUACGUGCCAGCAGCCGCGGUAAUACGUAGGGGGCGAGCGUUGUCCGAAUUUACUGGGCGUAAAGCGCGCGUAGGCGGAUUUUUAAGUUGGGGGUGAAAUCCCGGGGCUCAACCCCGGAACUGCCUCCAAAACUGGAAGUCUUGAGGUAUGGAGAGGGAAGUGGAAUUCCUGGUGUAGCGGUGAAAUGCGUAGAUAUCAGGAGGAACACCCGUGGCGAAGGCGGCUUCCUGGCCAUAUCCUGACGCUGAGGUGCGAAAGCUAGGGGAGCGAACGGGAUUAGAUACCCCGGUAGU